This 492-nucleotide ribosomal RNA is filed under the name uncultured bacterium. Its description in RNAcentral is "partial 16S ribosomal RNA". It matches the Rfam family "Bacterial small subunit ribosomal RNA", at positions 29 to 507 of the family's 1533-position model. The record is from RNAcentral.
AGUGAACGCUGGCGGUAGGCCUAACACAUGCAAGUCGAACGGCGGCACAGUAAGAGCUUGCUCUUACGGGUGGCGAGUGGCGGACGGGUGAGGAAUACAUCGGAAUCUACUUUUUCGUGGGGGAUAACGUAGGGAAACUUACGCUAAUACCGCAUACGACCUACGGGUGAAAGCAGGGGAUCUUCGGACCUUGCGCGAUUGAAUGAGCCGAUGUCGGAUUAGCUAGUUGGCGGGGUAAAGGCCCACCAAGGCGACGAUCCGUAGCUGGUCUGAGAGGAUGAUCAGCCACACUGGAACUGAGACACGGUCCAGACUCCUACGGGAGGCAGCAGUGGGGAAUAUUGGACAAUGGGCGCAAGCCUGAUCCAGCCAUACCGCGUGGGUGAAGAAGGCCUUCGGGUUGUAAAGCCCUUUUAUUGGGAAAGAAAAGCAGCAGGUUAAUACCCCGCUGUUCUGACGGUACCCAAAGAAUAAGCACCGGCUAACUUCGUG